CUCGUAGUGCCGGAAAUUACGGGAUACCUUGAUGGGGUAUACAUGGCGAUCUCGCCCUACGAGA
RNAcentral lists this transfer RNA (64 nucleotides) under Hoplopleura sp. Its description in RNAcentral is "tRNA-Ile". The record is from RNAcentral. Lineage: Eukaryota; Metazoa; Arthropoda; Insecta; Psocodea; Hoplopleuridae.